This is a non-coding RNA of Myodes glareolus (Bank vole), 2820 nucleotides long. The record is from RefSeq and is a predicted model, not a curated record. NCBI's taxonomy places the organism in Eukaryota, Metazoa, Chordata, Mammalia, Rodentia, Cricetidae.
GCAGGAUGGCGGCGCUGCGGGGCGACGGCUUCGCCAGGCUUCGGCCCCCACGGGCGCAGCGGACCCCAGGGAGGAAAGACAAAGACACGCCGGUUAGCAACGAGCGGGAACCGCGCGGCCCGGGACCGAGGCGCCGCGUCCCCCGCACCCACCAGUAUUCACUUCAGUGGGACUGAAAGCUAGAGCAAUAGUGUUUGAGGAUGCGGACAGUCUUCCGACUUCCACAGUUCUGAAUGAAUGCAUUUGCUGAUCCUAAAACAGACACGGAAACAACAUGGAUGCACUGAGCAGCAUCAAGUUCCUCUCCGUUAAAUGCUAAAGAAGGUCAGCACCGCUGUCUGCCUUUUCCACGGUAUGUGAAAAACAUACAUCAGUUUUCUGUUAUGAACCAUUUUUUUAGAAAAUUUGAGUCCAAAUAUUUUAUUCUUAUUCCCUUAAAAACGUUUCCCAUUUGUGUGCUCAUCUUGUCACUUAACUCAUUAAGAGGGGGCUUCUCCUACUAUCCAGGUUCUCAUUUUCUCUCUCCCUCCUACCCCUUCUCUCUCUCUCUCUCUCUCUCUCUCUCUCUCUCUCUCUCUCUCUCUCACACACACACACACACACACACACACACACACACACACACAAAGUUUUCUGAGUGCUGUAGUCUGAAAUGAUCAGUUCCUCUUCCAAUCUCUGACUGUUCCUUAAUUCUUGCUGUGAGACCAUUACCACAGUGGUCUGUAUUUUCACAACACUAGGGCAGUCUAUGAUUACCAUUUCCCACUCUUAUUUUGCUUCUCUUAAAAAAAAAGUCCAUCCUCCAGAUGGGUAGAGCAGGACACUAACACCAUUUACUGUUGAUAGGGUGACUGGCUGGCUCAUCUGAAUCGUCUUUCCUGUAUUCACAUUCAUACAAAAGGUUUUUGAUUUGUCCACUGUAUGUGUGCCAGAUCAGCAAUGUCACUGUUGUCUGCUGAAUUAACCAACAUUCUAUCUCUACCCUUAGAUUUUCAAUCAUUAUCUCCCAACACUAUGGCCAACGCCCUACAUUAAGACACUGCCUCCAUCUUAAAAAUAAUUCUCGACUAUGUAAGAAUUAAAUCAGAGCCUGAAAUGAAAAUGAGUGCGAUUAGAUGGAAGAAGUCAUAACCAGCAUCUACUCAAAUAAAACACAAAAUCAAUUAUGAAGCCAAGCAAUAACGUUAAGAUCACAUGUCCCAACAAAUUAGUAUUAUAGAUGGAAGAAGCAUGGGUAAUAUAGUAUUUGGGUAUAAGAAACUAAAGUUUUAAAGUAAUAAAUAUCCUAAGUACAAAAUAGUUGUAAAAUAAUGCAGAGUGAAAUGAUAUUGCCCUAAAUGGUUUAGGAACAUUAAACCUAAAUUAGGUUUAGCCAACAGUAAGGAAGCAAAUGAAAAGAAAAAAUUGGAAAAAUGAAAAUAAUUAGAAUUGUUUGAUUGAAAUCCCUGCUCCCCCUUGCACAAACUAGGAAACCCCGUCUGCCCUACUUUCCCCAACCCUGCCCAUGCAGAGAAAACUCUGACCAAAAGAAUGGCACCCAAGUGCCGGCCCAGGGACCAAGCUCUUGACCAUACUUGGACAUGUCCCAGCUCCUAGCUGGCAUGUCAUCACCCCGCCCUAAGAUCUAUAAACCUCCCUGCCUUAGCUUGGGCAUGUGACUUCUCUGGGACUGGUGAACCUGCCCAGGAGCCACGCCCAAUAAGCCUGCAUAUAUCAGUUUUUAAUCUAGUCUGAUCUAGCCUUUUGCACUGGCAGAAACAUAUCAAAGAUAUAUAAGAUAAAAUAAAAUAGCUAUCUAAUAAAGUGAGGUAGACCCCAAAGCACUUGUGCUGACUAAUAGUGACCAUUCACCUGCUGCGUGCCAGGCACUAAACUACGCUAAUAUACAUUAUCUCAAAUUGUUUUUAUUGAAGUCAGUUUUAUAAAACUAUAGCUUUAGAAAUGUGCUUGAGAAAAUAAUCAUUACCUCCUUAAGUAAAGAAAUCAGGAAAGCAAAAAAAUUGUCAAUGUGCAUGGCCUAAUAUGAGAGGACACCAAAAAAUUAAACUGUCUGGUUUGAGUAGCAACUGUGUUCCUAAGAGAAAGAUGUCACACUAAGCUGGCUCAAUGCUUAUCAAGAGACUAAGCUUACACUAGCAAAGGAGAAGCAUAAACACCAACCAGCCUCAAACGUUUUGAUCUACAACAGUGUCCUGCCUGCAAGAUGUGCUAAGUGCACUGGUGGCACAAAGCUUAUGGGAAGGAGUUAACUAAACAAUACCUGAUUUGACAUAAAGCCCACUCCAUGAGAUGGAACCCAUACCCCACACUGCUUCUGUGAUUAAGAACCUGAGACUAGAUAGCCUAGGGACCUAGGGUAAAAGAAAAUACUACUGUACUAAAACAAACACAACAAAAAUGUGUAGUACUAAAAUGACUCCUACUGACAUUCUGCUGUACUCCUAGAUCAGUGCCUUGCUCAUCCAUCAUCAGAGAAGCUUCCUCCUGCAGCAGAUGGGAGCAAAUACAGAGAUACACAGCCAGACAUUAUGCAGAGAGUGAGACUCUGGGGCACUCAGCCCUAAUGACAUGUCCCCUUCAAAUCUGUCCCCUCAGGACUCAGGAAACCCUGAGAAGAGUUGGAAAGAGUUUAAGAGCCAGAGGAGAUGGAGGACACCAAGGAAACAGGUCCUCUAAUCAAUAGGAUGGAUGCACAUGUGAGUUCACAGAGACAUAGGCAGCAUACACAGGGCCUGCAUGGGUCAGGAUGGAUGUACAUGUGAGUUCACAGAGACACAGGCAGCGUGCACAGGACCUGUAUGGGUCUACACCAGAUAGGGU